This 406-nucleotide ribosomal RNA is filed under the name Streptomyces sp. RNAcentral describes it as "bacterial SSU rRNA". It matches the Rfam family "Bacterial small subunit ribosomal RNA", at positions 22 to 431 of the family's 1533-position model. The record is from RNAcentral. Lineage: Bacteria; Bacillati; Actinomycetota; Actinomycetes; Kitasatosporales; Streptomycetaceae.
GCUCAGGACGAACGCUGGCGGCGUGCUUAACACAUGCAAGUCGAACGAUGAACCACUUCGGUGGGGAUUAGUGGCGAACGGGUGAGUAACACGUGGGCAAUCUGCCCUGCACUCUGGGACAAGCCCUGGAAACGGGGUCUAAUACCGGAUACAACCACUGACCGCAUGGUCGGGUGGUGGAAAGCUCCGGCGGUGCAGGAUGAGCCCGCGGCCUAUCAGCUUGUUGGUGAGGUAGUGGCUCACCAAGGCGACGACGGGUAGCCGGCCUGAGAGGGCGACCGGCCACACUGGGACUGAGACACGGCCCAGACUCCUACGGGAGGCAGCAGUGGGGAAUAUUGCACAAUGGGCGAAAGCCUGAUGCAGCGACGCCGCGUGAGGGAUGACGGCNUUCGGGUUGUAAACC